UCUGGGUAAAACUUUAUGUCCCGCAGUAGAUGAGCGAGGGUUGCUAAAAGCGGGAGCAAGGUUUGGAAAUCUGCAGAGACCACAGUCGCCGGGUGCACCGUGCCCUUGGCUCAGGGCAAGGGGAAACACUGCCCUUCCCGCCCCCACCAGCCCUGGCAUAAGACCUGCAGCCAAGGUGGUUUAAAAAAAAAAAAAAAAAAAAGCGUCCCGGCCCGCGGCGAUGGCUACGGGGAUUGGGAGGGGGUGGCGCGCGCCUCCAGCCUGCCCCUGGAGGCAGUCCGCGGGACAGCAGGCUGGAGGCGCGCCGGCGUGAUUCCGACCGCGGGAGCCGGGAGGAGGAGCCGGAGACAUCCCCACCUUCUGAUGUAACAGCUACGAAUCGCGAGGCUGACCUCUCAUCCUUUGGCCUGGAGAUGAGAGUGUCUCAGGCCCAGUGAUAGGCGGGAAGGGACCGGAGGGAGCCACAAGUCUGCACCCAGGCGGGGAGGAAGCGGGCGGGAGCCGCUCCGCAGGCGCAGGCGAGUGGGUGGGAAGGAGGGAGGGAGAGAGGGAGAGAGGGAGGAAGGAGGUGAGGCCGGGAAGAUGCCACUGCCGGGGGCGGGGCGGGGCCCGGGAUCCGGGAGAGGGACUGCAGCGGUGUUUGGUGGGGGCUGGGGCUGCAAUGUCACUUAUUUGAGGGUCAGGUGUGUAUGUCCCAGGCUGGGACUGCCACUUGCUUACAUCUUCCCAGUACCACCCAGGGCGCAGGGACCGAGGCGGAGGGCAGGGGACUGCAGUACCGUCCCCGAAGCGGGACGCGAACCGGCAGAGUUGGGAGAAGAGCCUCCGCGCCGGGGAGCUGAGCAUGCUGCCCCCGCGUGCAGCGCCCGCGUGCACCCAGCCCGGAGAGGGGGCGACAGGGCGGAGGCGGUGGCCCCCGGAAGGUGUCUGGGACCGGACCCGCUGCACGUGAGCCCAGCGCGGAGUCAUGUGCACCGGCUCAGCCCGGUUCGGCGGCCGGACGUGCUGCGUAUCAACAAAAUGAAACUCAGGGCGACAGGAGGGCAGAUAGCUCUGGGUCCUCCGAACCCCCGUCUCCGGCAGAACGACCUCCCCUCCGCUGCGGUCUCCCGCCGCAGCCCCUCCGCGCGGCCGGAGCCCGCGGGGCAAGUUGCAGCCCUGGCGCGCCCCCGCCCGCCCGCGCCCCCUCACCGGCCCGGGGGCGCUUUGCCGCAGUCAUUAAUAAAGAAGGUCGCCAAGCUCACCCUUCCAAAAGUUGUUGUUGCAUGCGCCCCUCUCAGCCUCCCCGCAAUGUACUCUUUAAAACAUGACUGACCAACAUGCGCAAUCUCUCUCCCCGGUGCUGUGCAUCCCCCCCCCCCCCCCCCCGCGCCCUGGCUUCCUAGAACAGGCAGCCAGCAGGAGAGAGAGGGAGCGAGCGAGCAAGAGAGAGAGCGCGAGCGAGGGAGCGAGGAGCGCUGGCAGAUCUGUUGCAAAAACAUAAAAUAACGCCGUGGAGAUGCGCAGGGCCCAUCGCUGGGGGCAGGAUCUUACCUUCCUCCGCGGUGCCCUUCUGAGGGGCGCUGCCCUGGACUACGCGCCGCGGCGGGGGCCGGCGCUGGAAGGAUGCUCCCGAAACCCGGAGCUCCUGGGGCCGGCGCGGGCGGGCGGGGGGCGCGCAUCCAUCCGGGGUCGCGGCGAGGGAGGCUGCCGGGCCCUCGGCGUCCCCGGCCCCGCACCCCUGCUGGGGACGGUCAGCCCGCUGGACGUAAGCCCUUGCCGCUAGGAAUGGGCACAAAGUAACUCCAUGGACGCUACUCACCCCCCUCCCAAAAAAAUAGCCUCCAACUGCGAUGGCCGCGGUCGGCACCAUUCACCAAUCCCCCUGUGUAUGUUUCUGUUUCUUUUUAAACCAAGACUUCCUUGUGAUCUCUUUAGAAAAAAAAUGUGUUGGGGUGGGGGUGGGGUGGGGGCGGGCGGGAGGAGCGAGGGAGGGGGAGUAGCCACUUUUUUCUUAUUCACUCGGAUCUCCACUCCUGACACCCCCCCCCCGUCUCCCGCCCCACCCCCCGCCCGGUUGUUUGGCUCCGGCAGCGGGUCCAGGUAGGGUUGCAGGCCUCGGGGGGGGGGGGGGGGGGCGGGGAGGGUGCUCUGACCGGCUGCCCGUCUGCCUGCACCUCGGGCCCAGACUCCCCAUGGGCUCUGGGGCGCCCCCAGCCCGCCCUGUCCCCAGGGCCGGGCCCGAGCGGCGGCUGCGCCCGUGCAAGUCCCAUCAGGUCUGCUCACACUUCACACACUCACACACAUACCCCGCCCCUCCACUCUCUCACACUUUCUGCUCACACCCCGCCCCCUUCGAGCCCCAGACCCGGGCGGCGCCCCCCGCAACCUUAAAAAAAAAAAAAAAAAAAGCAAGCUUAUACUUAAAAAAAUCUUUUGGCGCCAUAUUAAUGACGUACUUAAAAUUUGCCAUUUCUCCCUGCGUCAAAAAGACGUUUCUUUGCAAAUAACAGCCUGAAGGCGACACUCGCGGAGGGAACGAGGUUUGCACCGAGCACCCCGCCUCCCGGGGCUCCAGCGCUGGAAGACCCUCGCCCUAGGCCCUGCUCCCGAAUCGCUGGUUUAAAAAUGCGAACCGAAUAAAUCGCGUGGCGCUCUGCAGCGCCAGAAGUGAGCAGAAAGUGCUGGCAGGAGCGGAGGGGAGGGGCACGAGCGCGAGUCUGGGGGAGGGGGCGCGUCCCUUCUCCCCCACCCACAGCAGAUGGAAACUAACGUCCCGGGCGGGGGAAACUUGAAAUUGCCGGCGACCUCAGGAAGGAGGGGCCGUCCGUGGAGAGGGUCCCUCUCGGGUUCGUUGCCCCCCUCCCCCGUUCGGGUGCCUACAGGCUCCCAGCUCUGCCCCGCAUUUCCGGGGGGUGGGGAACGCAGUGAUGGGUGGGUGGGUAGCUGCAAGUCUUGGCCCCAGUAGGAGUUUGCCCCGAGGUGUUCCCUUCCCCCCUAGCUCGUCCUUCCCAUUCCCCCUAAAGGGUUAAAAACCGAGGGGGCUACUUCCAAGGGCUGGCACUUGGCGAGGAAGCGGGGCGCCCCUCUCCCCACCCUUCGCCUCCUCGCCCCUCCUCCUCCGGCUCCACUUCCCGACUUGACCUUGUGGUGCACAAACAGUGCGCUCGGAUCCUCGCAGUUUCUGGAAGAAGCGCUUGCGCUCGCCAGGCAGGCGGGCUGUCGGGCGGCUCGCGGGCGGUGGCGGGGCCUUGGGUCGGUUCCCAGAGCCGCGGGCCACACCCACCCAACCCGCUGCGCCCGCGGUGCUCACCUUCUCUCGAGGAAGGAGCUGCGCUAGCCUCCUGGAUGGGGAGGUGUCGGGGGCAAGCUGCAGCCUUCUCCCAAUGCUCCCAAUUGGGGAGAGGGUGGUCUGGUCUCAGGCGGGGUUUGUUGGGGAGACCUGGGAACCUGGUUCAACAUCCCCAAAGCAUCGUUGCCAACUUUUCCUUCCCCCUCCCUUUUGGCUGCCCCUCAAAGAUGAUCCAAUAAUUUUUGCAACUCACCUUUGGCUUUGAAGGCACGUGGGUGAGUUGUGAACUGGGACAGGAACCGCCUUCCCUCUCCGAGACUGAAGGUUGUUUAUCCUUCCUUUCUUUCCCUUCCACCCCCUUCAAUGGAAAGACAAAUACUCAAUUUACAUAAGAUGACAUUUAUGUGACACUUAAAAAGAUUCCCCCAUGGAAUGUUGUGAACACAUUUGCUUAUAGGAGAAAUAAAUCUAAUAAUAAACAAACUUCCAACAGCACAAAUCCUCUGACGGGUUAAAUGGUCUACACAACAAAGAGGAAGAUGGUGAAUGUGGAAAUAAGCCCUUUCUGCAACAAGAAAGAAAUAUGAGCUCAAAGGGAGUCCCAGAAGCGUUUCUCUUCCUUGGCCUUCAUUCACAAAGUCUGGGAAGGCUUGUUUGGCAAGACUGAGGAACUGGGGUACCACCUCCAGACCUGACUCUAGCUCUGAGUUGGUAGGAUUUUCCCAAGCCUAAACUCAGUGCCAGAAAACAGAUGUCACAAGCUGUUAGCAUGUAACAAAAAUGGUCAAAUACCUGGAUUCAAAUCCUGGCUUUGCAGUUGAGAAGCUACUUGAUGUGGGCAAGCGCAUUCAUCUCUCUGGGUCUCUUUCUUCUAUAGAAUAGGAUGGUUGGAGGGUUCCUGAAGCCGUGUGUAUAUAUACAUAUAUGUAUAUAUGUUUGCAUACAUUCUAUAUGUGUAAAGCAGGGGCCUGGCUCAGAGUGCACGGUGCACAUUAGCACUUUCCCUGGUGUUUGUGUUUUGGAAGGGUGAAUAUGCUCCCUGAAAGCUCUUAACACUGGAAAUACUGGAGAACAAUGAUUUCUAUCUUGUCCUCUAUGAUGACAUAUACACAAGAUCUCCCAGUUAGGGCAAAAAGAAGUAGAAGAGAAAAAACUGUGCUAGAUGGUAGGCUUCAUGGUCAAGGUCCAGAUGGCAGUCUUAACCACACAUCUGAAGUGGGAAUGGAGGCACCAAUUUACAGCGGCACAGUCCAAAGGAAGCACUCUGGGUCUAGAUAUAGCGGGUUUACAUACAGGAAAGGACUGGACAGGCUCCUCCUCUUAGCCAUCAAGAUCCUGUGAGCCUUUGCAGGCAGUUAUAAAAUGACCUAGAGAGAUGGAAGAGGGCGAAGAUGACCAUCUCCUGUGCUGUGCACUAUGCCAGUCAUCCCAUUUCAUCCUCAGAAAAAUCCCAUUUUAUCUAUUCAGAAAGGUUUCGUGACUCACCAACAAUCACACGAGCUAGGAAGUGGUGGCAGAGUUGGCACCUGGUUUGGAUGCCCCCAAGAUUAUGUGUUGUCCAUUUUACCAUGCUGCCAGAAUUAAAAGGUAUGAAAAUUAUUGGUUUGAUUGGGGAUGGGGACCUGACUGCUGUAACAGCAAGAAAGAAUUUUAUGGGUAGCACUUUGCCUCUAAGGCGGUUCCCUGAAUUUGGGUGAGACACAGGUCCCCUAAGGAGUCCUUGGAAGGUACUUCUUGUUUAGGACUGGAAGCUCCAUCAGAAUCCUUGCAUUCUUGCUGCUCUCUGCUACUGUUUAAGGUUAACCUUGAUAAUGUUUACAGAAUAAUAGGAAAGGAGAUAAUUAUAACUCUUUAAUCUUUAGUAAAAGUCUCACAAAUCAUGAACUUACUGCAGAAAAAAAAAAAGAGAGGAAACAUAAAAGUUCUAGGAGAUGUAAUUAUUCAUUUUUUUUUCAACAAAUGUUUACUGAAUGCCACCUGUAUACCAGGUACCAUUCUAGGGGCUGAGGACACAGCACAAAAGUGGCAGACAAAAAUGCCUACUCCCAUGGAAUUCACUUUCUAGUGGAAGGAAAUGCACAAUUUUUUUAAGUGAAAUAUUAUAUUUGAAGGUGAGUAAGUGCUGUUCAGAAAAAUUAAGUAGGAAAGGGGGAUAGGGAACGUGGGCAUGCAAUUUAAAUAGAGUCCUCAGGGAAGAGCUGACUGAGAAGGUGGCUUUUGAAUUAAAGGAGGUGAAGGAAUGAGCUGUGAGGGCUUAUGGGAGAAGAGCAUUCUAAGGCACGGGUUCUUAACAUGGAGUCCGCAGACACUCUCCUCCAGAGAUCUGUGUAUAGAAUUCACAGAGUCUUGACUUCAGAUAGGGAAAAAAAUGUUAUCUUUAUUUUCACGAAUUAACAUUUGGCAUGUUCUUCAAUUAUGAAUGCAGACAGCAAAUCACAGUGCUAUUAGCAGCACCUGUGAUGUUGUUGCUAGUAGAAAUCAGAUAUUUUCAUAGCACAUUAUAGUUGCUGCAAAUAUCUUAAAAUAUCAUUACAGUUAUCACUACUUCAUAAUUAUGCUGCUAGCUCUUGUAAUUUAAUGAAUUAAUAAGAAACACAUAUAUUACUCUAUUACACAUUUUUAAAAUAUUUUGAGAGUUGUAUUUCAGCAUAAUUGGUUUUCUUUAUAAUUUAUGAAACUUAUUUUAUGGAUUUAAAGGUACUGUAAUCAGAAGGAAUCCAUGGGCAUUACUAACUGCCAUAGGGGUCCCUGGCACAAAGUAAAAGAAACCACUGUCUCCACCAUUUGCGGUCUCCAGCAAAUGCAGAGGUCCUGAGGUAGGAAGAUGCUUAUUGUGUACAUGUAGAAGAAAGAAAUGAUAUAGGCCAUUGUUAGGAAUUUGGCUUUUGCUAGGAGUACUAAAGAUGGUUUUGAGCUGAGGAGUGACAUAAUCUGACACUGGAUUUUACAGGUUACUUUGCUGUCCUAUGGAGGACAGACUGAAAGCGGAAAGGCUGAAGCUGGAAGACAGGUGAGGAGGUCAGUGAAAUAAACCAGACUCUCAGACUCAGCCCAGUGGCCACAGAUGGCAGAAGGCAAAGAAGAUCCCUGGGGCUUCUAAACACUUCCCCAGAAACUGGCAGCAGGCAGUAACUCCGGCCAAGUCAGGGGCCAGCUUGACCAGACACUCAUCAAAGUGUGAGACGCCCCGCGUGGAGCUGAGGGACCCGGCUCUGUCCAAGAACCAUCAAGAACCAAAGGCGCUGGCUCCAAGUCAAGUUGAACAGGGUGUGUAGAAGCUGGCUGCCAUGCUGUAAGUACACUCAAGCAACCCUAUGGAGGAUGACAGGUGGUAAGAAACUAAGGCUUAUUGUCAACAGCCAGAACCAACUUGCCAGGAGUGCUGCAGUCUCAGUCAAGCCUUCAAAUGACCACAGCUCUGUCUGACAUCCUGACUGCAAUCUCAUGAAACAGCUCCAGCCAGAACCAUGCAGCUAGGUCACUUGUGAAUUCCUGAUAUGUCACAGAAAGUGGGAGACAGUAAAUGUUUAUUGUUGUUUUAA
Long non-coding RNA from Felis catus (domestic cat), 6813 nucleotides. RefSeq lists it as uncharacterized. The transcript is spliced from 5 exons. NCBI's taxonomy places the organism in Eukaryota, Metazoa, Chordata, Mammalia, Carnivora, Felidae. The record is from RefSeq and is a predicted model, not a curated record.